Molecule: ribosomal RNA, 253 nt
Filed under: uncultured bacterium
Lineage: Bacteria
Description: partial 16S ribosomal RNA
Rfam family: Bacterial small subunit ribosomal RNA
Source: RNAcentral
UACGGAGGGUGCAAGCGUUGUUCGGAAUCAUUGGGCGUAAAGGGCGCGUAGGCGGCUCGUCAAGUCAGGUGUGAAAGCCCGCGGCUCAACUGCGGAACUGCGCCUGAUACUGGCAGGCUUGAGUACGGGAGAGGGUAGCGGAAUUCCGAGUGUAGAGGUGAAAUUCGUAGAUAUUCGGAGGAACACCAGUGGCGAAGGCGGCUACCUGGACCGAUACUGACGCUGAGGCGCGAAAGCGUGGGGAGCAAACAGG